UCCGUAGGUGAACCUGCGGAAGGAUCAUUACCGAGUGAGGGCCCUCUGGGUCCAACCUCCCACCCGUGUUUAUUUACCUUAUUGCUUCGGCGGGCCCGCCUUCACUGGCCGCCGGGGGGCUCACGCCCCCGGGCCCGCGCCCGCCGAAGACACCCCGAACUCUGUCUGAAGAAUGAAGUCUGAGUGAAAAUAUAAAUUAUUUAAAACUUUCAACAACGGAUCUCUUGGUUCCGGCAUCGAUGAAGAACGCAGCGAAAUGCGAUACGUAAUGUGAAUUGCAAAUUCAGUGAAUCAUCGAGUCUUUGAACGCACAUUGCGCCCCCUGGUAUUCCGGGGGGCAUGCCUGUCCGAGCGUCAUUGCUGCCCUCAAGCCCGGCUUGUGUGUUGGGCCUCGUCCUCCGAUUCCGGGGGACGGGCCCGAAAGGCAGCGGCGGCACCGCGUCCGGUCCUCGAGCGUAUGGGGCUCUGUCACCCGCUCUGUAGGCCCGGCCGGCGCUUGCCGAUCAACCCAAAUUUUUAUCCAGGUUGACCUCGGAUCAGGUAGGGAUACCCGCUGAACUUAAGCAUAUCAAUAAGCGGAGGAA
RNAcentral lists this ribosomal RNA (584 nucleotides) under Penicillium paneum. Its description in RNAcentral is "eukaryotic LSU rRNA". The stretch from base 205 to 357 matches the Rfam family "5.8S ribosomal RNA". Lineage: Eukaryota; Fungi; Ascomycota; Eurotiomycetes; Eurotiales; Aspergillaceae. The record is from RNAcentral.